RNAcentral lists this transfer RNA (55 nucleotides) under Armadillidium nasatum. Its description in RNAcentral is "tRNA-Gly". The record is from RNAcentral. Lineage: Eukaryota; Metazoa; Arthropoda; Malacostraca; Isopoda; Armadillidiidae.
CUAAGGUAGUAUACAAGUACAGCUGAUUUCSAUUCAGAAGGGCUUCAUAUAUGGA